Tyto alba (common barn owl) is the source of this 1308-nucleotide long non-coding RNA. RefSeq lists it as uncharacterized. The transcript is spliced from 2 exons. Lineage: Eukaryota; Metazoa; Chordata; Aves; Strigiformes; Tytonidae. The record is from RefSeq and is a predicted model, not a curated record.
CUUUGUAGCUGAAUUAUUAUGACUCCGCUACAGAAGUGAUUUCUACCUCCAGCCAUGAGUCGACAGCUUUAGUAAUAGCCAUGCCCACGGUCAAAAGAAGAUAUCCUGUGUGUUGGCCACCGUCCACCGGCUCUCCUCGCCUCAGCUGGCUACGGAGGUGACGCUGUAGUUUGGAUCGUGCCCUCUGGCUGUGUCUGCCGCAGGAUUCACACGAUGCAUCCCACCGACUGCGCCGGCGGCGGAGGCAAGUGCUGCUUGGGAAAACCGUAGAGACAACGAGUAUACCCCAGCUUUUCCAAAAUCUUUGCAAAAGGAGCAUCGGAAAAGUAUUUAAGAUAGAUUGAAAUGGUUGGCUUUGACUUUUAUGGGGUUACUUCUGGCAUAUACUUAUUUUACAGAUUAUAAACAUAAUCUGAAGUGUUCUUCUAAAGGAAAACAGAACUGGUUUUGUUCUGAAAAUGCUAAAACAGCCUCUUUUAGAGACUUGCUGGACUUCUUUACUAAAGCGCUGCUCCAAACUGAAACCUUAGUAAAAGCCAUCAUUCAGCAGCCUGCUUUGCAUUUCGGUAGACUCAAGUUUUCCAGUGUAAAAUGUUUCCAUCUUUCUUUGACUAGCUGUGCUGAAAGACAUCAGAGGUGAUAUCUGAUACCAAUAGCGACCUUGAGAGGCUGUAAAGGGGCAGCUCUAAUAAAUACAUAUUGGUACAUGACAGCUGGCUAAGAAAAAGGCAAAGGUGGUGCGCUUAUAAUUUCAACACAGCAACAGGGGGAUAUCUUGCUGUGUCAAUGUGAUGUAUUUUAUUCAUUUAACAUUACUCAUUACAGAAAAGUAAUACCAAACUGUGUCAUUUAAGUAAUACUUAAAUUCUUUUGCAUUUAAGCAAGCUUGCAGUGAACAUGUAAUUUUUUUUUUUUUUUCUUCCUUUUGCUUUCUCAGCUGCAGCCACAAGCCGUAAAGCCGUAUUGCUACAGGCUCACAUGGCUGGGCUGGGGUCUGGAGCAGCAACUCUCAUUUCCAGUGGGGCUCAAGGCAGGAGUUAACACUGGGAUGUCAUGAACGCCCCAGCACACAUCACAGCUCUGUGCUGUACAGGGUGGUUUUAUAAAUGAUCUGUACAAUGUCAGUUUGGGUUUUACUUACAAAAAAGACUAUGCUUAUGUGUUUUUGGAAAAACAUGAAUUAGUCAUUUCUCAGUUUGCAGUCAUAACUAAUCAUCCCUCUCCCUCUGCUUUUAAUCCCUGAGUCUGUAGAUGCAGAUUAUUGAUUUUUCAGCAUCUUAAAAGAAAUCCCUUAAAUUGGUGACAGCA